GGGGCCGUGGGGUAGCUUGGACUAGCCUCUCACCUUGGGGUGGUGGAAACUCGGGUUCAAAUCCCGACGGCCCCACCA
RNAcentral lists this transfer RNA (78 nucleotides) under Candidatus Methanofastidiosia archaeon. RNAcentral's name for it is "tRNA-Pro". It matches the Rfam family "tRNA". Rfam says of the family: Transfer RNA (tRNA) molecules are approximately 80 nucleotides in length. The record is from RNAcentral. RNAcentral also lists the same sequence under 1 other name. Lineage: Archaea; Methanobacteriati; Methanobacteriota; Candidatus Methanofastidiosia.